Molecule: unclassified non-coding RNA, 412 nt
Filed under: uncultured Inocybe
Lineage: Eukaryota; Fungi; Basidiomycota; Agaricomycetes; Agaricales; Cortinariaceae
Description: sequence contains ITS2
Rfam family: 5.8S ribosomal RNA (bases 1-154)
Source: RNAcentral
AACUUUUAACAAUGGAUCACUUGGCUCUCGCAUCGAUGAAGAACGCAGCGAAAUGCGAUAAGUAAUGUGAAUUGCUGAAUUCAGUGAAUCAUCGAAUCUUUGAACGCAUCUUGCGCUCCUUGGUAUUCCGAGGAGCAUGCCUGUUUGAGUGUCAUUUAUCUUAUCAACCGCUUCAGAUUUCUCUGAAUGUGGCUUGGACGUGGGGGAACUCUUUGCUGGCUUUUAGAGAAAGGUCAGCUCCCCUGAAAUGCAUUAGUGGCAUCUGAGCUGCUACUGUAGGUGUGAUAAAUAUCUAUGCCUUUGGUAUGCAUGCAUGAACAGAUCGCGCUGCUCAAAACCCGACUUUGACAAACUUGACCUCAAAUCAGGUAGGACUACCCGCUGAACUUAAGCAUAUCAAUAAGCGGAGGCU